Molecule: ribosomal RNA, 253 nt
Filed under: uncultured bacterium
Lineage: Bacteria
Description: partial 16S ribosomal RNA
Rfam family: Bacterial small subunit ribosomal RNA
Source: RNAcentral
UACAGAGGUCUCAAGCGUUGUUCGGAUUCAUUGGGCGUAAAGGGUGCGUAGGCGGCGCGGUAAGUCGGGUGUGAAAUCUUGGAGCUUAACUCCGAAACUGCAUUCGAUACUGCCGUGCUUGAGGACUGGAGAGGAGACUGGAAUUUACGGUGUAGCGGUGAAAUGCGUAGAUAUCGUAAGGAAGACCAGUGGCGAAGGCGGGUCUCUGGACAGUUCCUGACGCUGAGGAGCGAAAGCAUGGGGAGCAAACAGG